UAGCAUUGCUAUUUGCACUAAAGUUUUUAGUGUAAAAUCGACUUUGUCGAAUAAAAUUCUGGGUAGAAUUAUGAUAAUGACAUUAUCUACUUAUAAGUCUUGACCAAAUUACGUGCCAGCAGUCGCGGUAAUACGUAAAAGACAAGUGUUAUUCAUCUUUAAUAGGUUUAAAGGGUACUUAGACGGUAAAUAAAGCCUCUAAAAGGGACUAGUUUGCUAGAGUUUUAUAUGAGGGAGUUUUAAAGUACUACUGGUGUAGAGAUGAAAUUCAGUUAUACCUUACAUGGCACAGGUUAAGGCGAAAGCAUCUUCUUAUGUAAAAACUGACGUUGAAGGACGAAGGCUUUGUGUCUCGAACAGGAUUAGAUACCCUAGUAGUCUAAGCAGAAAAUCAUGAAUGUCAUAGAUUAGAUUUAAUUUGAUCUGUAAAUGAAAGUGUAAGCAUUCCACCUCAAGAGUAAUUUGGCAACAUUGGAACUGAAAUCAUUAGACCGUUUCUGAAACCAGUAGUGAAGUAUGUUGUUUAAUUUGAUAAUCCGCAAAAAACCUUACCACAAUUUGAAUAGAUAUAAUUUAUCAUACAAGCGUUGCACGGCUGUCUUCAGUUAAUGUCGUGAGACUUUGGUUAGUUCCAUUAAAUUAACGUAAACCCUUAUUUUAUUUUUAUAUAAAAUAGUUCACCGCUAUAUUGGAUGUGAUAAUAGGGAUCAAGACAAGUCAUCAUGACCUAAAUAUUGUGGGCUA
RNAcentral lists this ribosomal RNA (744 nucleotides) under Caloplaca sp. RNAcentral describes it as "SSU rRNA". It matches the Rfam family "Bacterial small subunit ribosomal RNA", at positions 397 to 1216 of the family's 1533-position model. Lineage: Eukaryota; Fungi; Ascomycota; Lecanoromycetes; Teloschistales; Teloschistaceae. The record is from RNAcentral.